AUUUGAACGGUUGCUCAAGAGAUCACACAAUCUUUAUCUUUUUUACCAUGGCUAGGUUGAGGAAGAGUUGUCGACUCACCUGAACUCGGGUUAUUUCGGUUAACAAUUUCUGCAGCAGAAAACAGCAUUCUAGCAGCACCAGCACUUCCAAUCAGUGUAGGACACAAAGGUCUUUGUUCCACUGGUCCUUCUUGUUGAAUGCGUUCAUCUUUAUCUGGUUGAAAUUGCUUGUUUGCAUUGAAAAACUUAUUGAACGAGGCUGUCAAUUCGGGACUCAACUUGUAAAGACCAAAGUUGCGAUAAUAUAGACCUUCCUUUGGAAUACGUAAAUAUUUCAUGAGAAAGUCGGCUUGAUCUAAAACCAUUUUUUGAGCAGGUUUUGCCAACGCAGAUGAUGGCAUUGCAUAAGAAAAUGUCAUUAAACCUUCGGAAAGAUGCUGAGCAAAAAAGGUAUUAUCAGACCAUACUUUAAAGCUUCCAUUACAUGAUUGAUCAUACAAUGGGCCAUUGGUGUCCAAAGCACCUCUAGCCAUAUCCUCUAAGUACGUCGGAAGCUUUUCAAUAUCUUGCAAUCCUUUAGUGAAUUCACCUAGACCCAUCAAUAAAGACAUGGCUGUCAUAGUGGUACCAGUGUUAUAAGUAAAGCGUGCCUUAUCUAAGACCCAUUUUCCGUCUUUCAAACUAAGACCGUCACAAACAAUAUGAUUUUCAUCAAGCAAGUUUUCCUGAAUCCAUCGAACACAAUUCCAAGCAAACGAAACAAGAUGUUGCUUUUUGUUAGGAUCGUCCAACGCCAGAGCAAGUCGCAAAGCAGCAACUGCAGACAUAGAAGUAGAGCAGGCAUUUAGAUUAGUCCAUGGUGGACCAGUAGUACGGGUAUGCCAAGCAAUACCUCCACGUUGCUGAUUCCAACCUUUGUUGAUAAUAAGCGAAAUUAUACUUUCUGCUCGACUAACAUAAUGAUCGCGACGUGAACUGUUUGUAGUAUAAUAGCCAGCCGUAGCCAAGCCAAUAGCUACCUGUGCAUUGUCAUCAUAAUAUACGUCGUCAUUUCCUUCAAAAUAGUGAAAAGCACAACAGGCAUUAAAAACGGGGGACCAAUAUUUCUUCAAAGCUUGGAACACAUGUUCGAAUUUCCGCUCAAACUUGCUGGUGUAUCUUAAACUGUCUGCCAUUGCUUCUGCAUAUACAGCCACGGACCAAACAAGAAAGAUAUGAUCUUUGUCAAUAGUGCCUGAACAGGCAAAGGCGCUACCCAUUCUAUCAGUGUACUUAUCAAAAAAAGUUUUAAAGCAUUGAUCUACUACAUUCAGCGCUUCGUUAAGGUAAACGUUUUCACUCAUUGUAAACUUUUUAUAAUUCCUGGUUUACAAAAAUUGUUCGUUAAUAGUAUAUUCCUGAGAAAUCGUUAAAUAAGGCAAAAAAAAUCUGCCAAAUGUACAACUUGAUAUAAAGAAAAGAAAUAACAGUUAUUUAAUAAUGAACUUCC
Non-coding RNA from Schizosaccharomyces pombe (fission yeast), 1489 nucleotides. NCBI's taxonomy places the organism in Eukaryota, Fungi, Ascomycota, Schizosaccharomycetes, Schizosaccharomycetales, Schizosaccharomycetaceae. The record is from the annotation of a GenBank genome assembly.